This 1022-nucleotide long non-coding RNA is filed under the name Sus scrofa (pig). RNAcentral describes it as "lncRNA (ENSSSCG00015020570.1, ENSSSCG00060040570.1)". Lineage: Eukaryota; Metazoa; Chordata; Mammalia; Artiodactyla; Suidae. The record is from RNAcentral.
GGACUCUUACGUGUUUAAGUGCAGGUACAGUGCCUUUUGUUAACCUCGAAAUCCAUUCUCACCUAACUCCCUUUUCCUGACUGCAAAGGGUAAUUGGGACUGUUAACGGGCUGUACUGCAGCCACAUUCCUCUUGUAGUCUAGGAUCCCAUUCCCUCCUAUUUGAUUUGCAUUACCCCAGAGGGUACAAGGGACUUUUAAAGUGCUUAAGUGGCACUAUAGUCCCUUAUGUUAUCUAGGACCCCAUUCCCAUCUAACUUUUCAUGACUGCAGAGUGUACUUGGGACUGUAAAUGUACUUAACUGCCUAUACAGUCUCACCCCUUAGUCCAAAUUACAUGCCCUCCUACUUGAAUUGUAUUAUAACAGAGGGUACAAGGGACUUUUAAUGUGCUUUUUUAAAAGCAGCUAAAUUUCCUUACCAUAACCUCAAAAUCCAUUUCCAUCUCAAAAUCCACUCCCACCUAACUCCCUUUCCAUCACAGCAGAGGGUACUUGGGACUGUUAAUAGGCUUAAUUAAAGCUAUUCUCCCUUCUGUUGGUCUAGAUUUCCUUUCCUGCCUCUAUUUGGAUUGUACCACAGUGUACAAUGGACUGUUAACUGUGCUUAAAUGCGGGUACAGUCCUUUUUUAAAACCUAGGAUCCUAUUCCCACCUAACUCCCUUUGCUUUACUGCAGAGGGUACUUGGGGCUUGUUAAUAGGCUUAGUUGGACUACAGUCCUUUCUGUUAGUCUAAUUUCCUAAGCUCACCAAUUCCCUUUGUAUUACAGCAGAGGGUACUUGGGACUGUUAAAGUGUUUAUUUGCAGCUCUGGUCCCUUCUCUUAGUCUGGGGUCCAUGCCCCCAGCUUUGUUUGCAUUACCGCAGAGGGUACUUGGAACUGUGAAUGUGCUUAAAUUCAGGUGUGGUCCCUUUUAAUUUAGGAUUGCUCGACUCCUUUUACCAGGGAGGGCAUUUGGGACUGUCAAGGUGGUAAGGGCACCUGCGUUCCUUUCUUUCUGUUCAUCUAGGAUCCCAUUCCC